GACGAACGCUGGCGGCGUGCCUAAUACAUGCAAGUUGAGCGAUGAAGCUUGGUGCUUGCACCAAUUUGAAGAGCAGCGAACGGGUGAGUAACGCGUGGGGAAUCUGCCUUUGAGCGGGGGACAACAUUUGGAAACGAAUGCUAAUACCGCAUAACACCUUUAAACAUAAGUUUUAAGUUUGAAAGAUGCAAUUGCAUCACUCAAAGAUGAUCCCGCGUUGUAUUAGCUAGUUGGUGAGGUAAAGGCUCACCAAGGCGAUGAUACAUAGCCGACCUGAGAGGGUGAGCGGGCAAAUUGGGACUGAGACACGGCCCAAACUCCUACGGGAGGCAGCAAUAGGGAAUCUUCGGCAAUGGACGAAAGUCUGACCGAGCAACGCCGCGGUAGGGAAGAAGGUUUUCGGAUCGUAAAACUCUUUUGGUAGGGAAGAACGUUGGUGAGAGUGGAAAGCUCAUAAAGUGACGGUAACUACCCAGAAAGGGACGGCUAACUACGUG
This 497-nucleotide ribosomal RNA is filed under the name uncultured bacterium. Its description in RNAcentral is "partial 16S ribosomal RNA". It matches the Rfam family "Bacterial small subunit ribosomal RNA", at positions 28 to 507 of the family's 1533-position model. The record is from RNAcentral.